RNAcentral lists this ribosomal RNA (204 nucleotides) under uncultured bacterium. Its description in RNAcentral is "partial 16S ribosomal RNA". It matches the Rfam family "Bacterial small subunit ribosomal RNA", at positions 524 to 722 of the family's 1533-position model. The record is from RNAcentral.
UACGGAGGGUGCGAGCGUUUGUCCGGAAUCAUUGGGCGUAAAGGGCGCGUAGGUGGCCACUUCAAGCGUGCGGUGAAAGUCGGGGGCUCAACCCCUGAUCGGCCGUGCGAACUGGGGGCUGGAGCACUGUAGAGGCAGGCGGAAUUCCGGGUGUAGGCGGUGGAAUGCGUAGAGAGUCCGGCAAGAACGACCGGUGGCGAAGGC